AUUAUGGAACCAUUUUUAUAAUUUCUAAUUUCUAUAUACACAUCAUUCUUGUUCUUUCAUGUCUGUUAUUUACAUUAAUAAUCUCUACUCCUUUGUAUACAGAGAUUUCUAAAGUUGAGAGUGUGGGAGCAAGAUGAAGAAACAGCGUUAUCAAUUUCCAGGAAGAAAUGACCUCAAAGCUGGAAGAGUUGGAGAUAUGUAGUUGACAUCUGUUUCACUCUGUCUAGACAGCAUCAGAGUAAGACUGAGUCUCGCUCUGUUACCAGGCUGGAGUACAGUGGUGUGAUCUUGGCUUAUUGCAACCUCCGCAUCCUGGGUUCAAGCGACUUUCCUGCCCCAGCCUCCCAAGUAGCUGGGACUACAGGUCAGCUUUCUUUCCAGAGCACCGGUCCCCAACCCUCAGGCCGUGGACCAGUAGCGAUCUGUGUCCUGUUAGGAACUGGGCUGCACAGCAGGCGAGUCCAUGUUACAUCACUGCCCAUAUGCUGGACACUGGAGAUCACAAAAUCUCAUCCCACUUUUGGCAACAAGAAACCUAAAGUUUGUUUGGCAAACAAAGAGUUAUUAUGGUGACUGGGGUGAUUGUUCCUGAUUACUGAGUGGAAAUUGGGCAACUACUUCACAAGGGAGGUAAAGAAGAGUGUGCUUGGAAUAUGGGAUCUCCCUUAGAGAGUUUCUUUGUGCUACUAUGUCCUGUUAUUAGGGUCAUUGGAAAAUGACAACAACCCAAUCCAGCAGGACCAUGCAUGACUCAGAUCCUUUAGGAAUAAACUUUUGCAUCACCCCACUUGGUAGAAACCAUGAUCAGCUCAGAUACCUGCUGAAGGUAAAGAGAAUACAGAAUGGAUAGUGAAAAAAUAUAAUUAUAAAUACCAAUUACAGGAUGUAACCAGUUGCAGAAAUGAAGAAUGUAACUGGCAUGAGUGUUCCUCCUUAUUUUGUUAUGAAUAUGUUUGUGUGUUUGCAUAUAUAUCAAAUAUCUGUGUAUCUCCUAUCUCUUAUUCCCUUAUCAUGUAACAUAGAAUGUAUAUGGACUUUAUAUAAUAGUAUAUAUAAAAAUAUACAUAAUAUUAGUAUUGCUUAUUUUAUAUUGUAG
Molecule: long non-coding RNA, 1096 nt
Filed under: Papio anubis (olive baboon)
Lineage: Eukaryota; Metazoa; Chordata; Mammalia; Primates; Cercopithecidae
Description: lncRNA (ENSPANG00000051271.1)
Source: RNAcentral